CGGGCCUUGGUAGCGCAGCUAACGCGUGAAGUUGACCGCCUGGGGAGUACGGUCGCAAGAUUAAAACUCAAAGGAAUUGACGGGGACCCGCACAAGCGGUGGAUGAUGUGGAUUAAUUCGAUGCAACGCGAAAAACCUUACCUACCCUUGACAUGUCUGGAAUGCCGAAGAGAUUUGGCAGUGCUCGCAAGAGAACCGGAACACAGGUGCUGCAUGGCUGUCGUCAGCUCGUGUCGUGAGAUGUUGGGUUAAGUCCCGCAACGAGCGCAACCCUUGUCAUUAGUUGCUACGAAAGGGCACUCUAAUGAGACUGCCGGUGACAAACCGGAGGAAGGUGGGGAUGACGUCAAGUCCUCAUGGCCCUUAUGGGUAGGGCUUCACACGUCAUACAAUGGUCGGGACAGAGGGUCGCCAACCCGCGAGGGGGAGCCAAUCCCAGAAACCCGAUCGUAGUCCGGAUCGCAGUCUGCAACUCGACUGCGUGAAGUCGGAAUCGCUAGUAAUCGCGGAUCAGCAUGUCGCGGUGAAUACGUUCCC
Molecule: ribosomal RNA, 537 nt
Filed under: uncultured bacterium
Lineage: Bacteria
Description: bacterial SSU rRNA
Rfam family: Bacterial small subunit ribosomal RNA
Source: RNAcentral